Molecule: small nucleolar RNA, 109 nt
Filed under: Stereum hirsutum FP-91666 SS1
Lineage: Eukaryota; Fungi; Basidiomycota; Agaricomycetes; Russulales; Stereaceae
Description: Small nucleolar RNA Z13/snr52
Rfam family: Small nucleolar RNA Z13/snr52
About the family: Z13 or snr52 is a member of the C/D class of snoRNA which contain the C (UGAUGA) and D (CUGA) box motifs.
Source: Rfam by way of RNAcentral
UCCUACUUUAUGAUCGAAAUCAUUUACGGAUGUAAGCGAGCCAAGCUCGUGUGUCCGAGAGCGCAAAACCCCAUGUGGAUAUCCCGUUGCCUUCCUUCUGACCCUCAUA